Molecule: ribosomal RNA, 496 nt
Filed under: uncultured bacterium
Lineage: Bacteria
Description: partial 16S ribosomal RNA
Rfam family: Bacterial small subunit ribosomal RNA
Source: RNAcentral
GACGAACGCUGGCGGCGUGCCUAAUACAUGCAAGUAGAACGCUGAAGAGAGGAGCUUGCUCUUCUUGGAUGAGUUGCGAACGGGUGAGUAACGCGUAGGUAACCUGCCUUGUAGCGGGGGAUAACUAUUGGAAACGAUAGCUAAUACCGCAUAACAAUGGAUGACCCAUGUCAUUUAUUUGAAAGGGGCAAAUGCUCCACUACAAGAUGGACCUGCGUUGUAUUAGCUAGUAGGUGAGGUAACGGCUCACCUAGGCGACGAUACAUAGCCGACCUGAGAGGGUGAUCGGCCACACUGGGACUGAGACACGGCCCAGACUCCUACGGGAGACAGCAGUAGGGAAUCUUCGGCAAUGGGGGCAACCCUGACCGAGCAACGCCGCGUGAGUGAAGAAGGUUUUCGGAUCGUAAAGCUCUGUUGUAAGUCAAGAACGAGUGUGAGAGUGGAAAGUUCACACUGUGACGGUAGCUUACCAGAAAGGGACGGCUAACUACGU